AGGAGUUUGCCCCAUCAGCAGAUUCCCCUGACAUCCAACCGGAAGUGAAACCGCUGCUGAGCCUGUGGAUAUUUGGACAUGGGGCUGGCUUCCGUCGGUGCCGUCUGUCGUUGGUUUCUGCUCUCUUCGUGUUUUGCCAGAAAUGGGACUUUCUGUGUCUCUAGUUGAUCUGC
Molecule: non-coding RNA, 173 nt
Organism: Equus caballus (horse)
Lineage: Eukaryota; Metazoa; Chordata; Mammalia; Perissodactyla; Equidae
Source: Rfam